UCAGUUGGUAGACUGCCUGCCUAGCUUGC
Molecule: non-coding RNA, 29 nt
Filed under: Rattus norvegicus (Norway rat)
Lineage: Eukaryota; Metazoa; Chordata; Mammalia; Rodentia; Muridae
Source: RNAcentral